CCUACGGGAGGCAGCAGUGGGGAAUCUUGUGCAAUGGACGAAAGUCUGACACAGCCACGCCGCGUGCGGGAAGAAGGCCUUCGGGUUGUAAACCGCUUUCAGCAGGAACGAAAAUGACGGUACCUGCAGAAGAAGAUGCGGCCAACUACGUGCCAGCAGCCGCGGUGAUACGUAGGCAUCAAGCGUUGUCCGGAUUUAUUGGGCGUAAAGAGCUCGUAGGCGGUUCAGCAAGUCGGGUGUGAAAACUCUGGGCUUAACCCAGAGCCUGCACUCGAAACUGCUGUGACUAGAGUUCGGUAGGGGAGCAGGGAAUUCCUAGUGUAGCGGUGAAAUGCGCAGAUAUUAGGAGGAACACCAAUGGCGAAGGCACUGCUCUGGGCCGAUACUGACGCUGAGGAGCGAGAGCGUGGGUAGCAAACAGGAUUAGAUACCCUGGUAGUCCACGCCGUAAACGAUGGGCACUAGGUGUGGGUCUCUAACCAACGAGAUCUGCGCUGUCGCGUACGACAUAAGUGCCCGCCGCGGGAGGUAACGGUCGCGAGAACGUAAACGUUAACGAAAGGAAGUUAGACGGCGNGAGACGNGCCGACGGACGACGACGAGGGAGGAGGAG
This 613-nucleotide ribosomal RNA is filed under the name uncultured bacterium. Its description in RNAcentral is "bacterial SSU rRNA". The stretch from base 1 to 521 matches the Rfam family "Bacterial small subunit ribosomal RNA", at positions 338 to 873 of the family's 1533-position model. The record is from RNAcentral.